AGUGAACGCUGGCGGUAGGCCUAACACAUGCAAGUCGAACGGCAGCACAGUAAUAGCUUGCUCUUACGGGUGGCGAGUGGCGGACGGGUGAGGAAUACAUCGUAAUCUACUUUUUCGUGUGGGAUAACGUAGGGAAACUUACUCUAAUACCGCAUACGACCUACGGGUGAAAGCAUGGGAUCUUCGGACCUGGCGGGGGUGAAUGAGCCGAUGGCGGAUUAGCUAGUUGGCGGGGUAGAGGCCAACCAAGGCGACGAUCGGGAGCUGGCCUGAGAGGGUGACCGGCGACAGUGGGACUGAGAUAAGGCCCAGACGCCUACGGGAGGCAGCAGUGGAGAAUAUAGCACAAUUGGAGGAAGCCUAAUGCAGCAACGCCGCGGGCCGGAUGACGGCCGUCGGGUUGUAAACCACAUACGCCUGUGACGAAGCGGGAGGGACGGUAAUGGGUAAAGAAGCACCGGCUAACUACGUG
This 472-nucleotide ribosomal RNA is filed under the name uncultured bacterium. RNAcentral describes it as "partial 16S ribosomal RNA". It matches the Rfam family "Bacterial small subunit ribosomal RNA", at positions 30 to 507 of the family's 1533-position model. The record is from RNAcentral.